RNAcentral lists this transfer RNA (68 nucleotides) under Ixodes scapularis (black-legged tick). It matches the Rfam family "tRNA". Rfam says of the family: Transfer RNA (tRNA) molecules are approximately 80 nucleotides in length. Their secondary structure includes four short double-helical elements and three loops (D, anti-codon, and T loops). Lineage: Eukaryota; Metazoa; Arthropoda; Arachnida; Ixodida; Ixodidae. The record is from Rfam by way of RNAcentral.
CUGUCUAGCUCAGUUGGUAGAGCGCUCCACUGGAAAUGGAGAGCUCCCUGGUUCGAUGCCAGGACAGA